Molecule: ribosomal RNA, 432 nt
Filed under: uncultured bacterium
Lineage: Bacteria
Description: bacterial SSU rRNA
Rfam family: Bacterial small subunit ribosomal RNA
Source: RNAcentral
AACGAACGCUGGCGGCAGGCUUAACACAUGCAAGUCGAGCGCCCCGCAAGGGGAGCGGCAGACGGGUGAGUAACGCGUGGGAAUCUACCCAUCUCUACGGAACAACUCCGGGAAACUGGAGCUAAUACCGUAUACGCCCUUCGGGGGAAAGAUUUAUCGGAGAUGGAUGAGCCCGCGUUGGAUUAGCUAGUUGGUGGGGUAAUGGCCUACCAAGGCGACGAUCCAUAGCUGGUCUGAGAGGAUGAUCAGCCACACUGGGACUGAGACACGGCCCAGACUCCUACGGGAGGCAGCAGUGGGGAAUAUUGGACAAUGGGCGAAAGCCUGAUCCAGCCAUGCCGCGUGAGUGAUGAAGGCCCUAGGGUUGUAAAGCUCUUUCAACGGUGAAGAUAAUGACGGUAACCGUAGAAGAAGCCCCGGCUAACUUCGUGC